This 347-nucleotide ribosomal RNA is filed under the name Leptodactylus macrosternum. RNAcentral describes it as "partial 16S ribosomal RNA". It matches the Rfam family "Bacterial large subunit ribosomal RNA", at positions 2023 to 2515 of the family's 2925-position model. Lineage: Eukaryota; Metazoa; Chordata; Amphibia; Anura; Leptodactylidae. The record is from RNAcentral.
CUUUCUUUAAUCAGUGAAACUAAUCUCCCCGUGAAGAAGCGGGGAUAAGCCUAUAAGACGAGAAGACCCUAUGGAGCUUUAAACAUAAGUAACAACUGCCCAUUAAAUUUUUUAAUCUCAGGAAAUUAAUCACAACACUUAGGCACUUUGAUUACAAGUUUUAGGUUGGGGUGACCGCGGAGCAAAAAAUAACCUCCGCAGUGAAUGGAACUUAUUUCCUAAACCCAGGGCUACGACCCUAAGAAUCAAUAAAUUGACACUGAUUGACCCAAUAUUUUUGAUCAAUGAACCAAGUUACCCUAGGGAUAACAGCGCAAUCCACUUCAAGAGCCCCUAUCGACAAGUGG